Molecule: ribosomal RNA, 251 nt
Filed under: uncultured bacterium
Lineage: Bacteria
Description: partial 16S ribosomal RNA
Rfam family: Bacterial small subunit ribosomal RNA
Source: RNAcentral
AAUAGUGGCGAACGGGUGAGUAACACGUAAGCAACCUACCCUAAAGACUGGCACAACCCCGCGAAAGCGGGGCUAAUUCCAGAUGUGGCCUUGAGAGCGCAUGUUUUCAAGAUUAAACCCAGCAAUGGGCUUUAGGAUGGGCUUGCGGCCUAUCAGUUAGUUGGUGAGGUAAUGGCUCACCAAGACGAUGACGGGUAGCUGGUCUGAGAGGAUGAUCAGUCACAAGGGAACUGAGACACGGUCCCUACUCC